AGUGAACGCUGGCGGUAGGCCUAACACAUGCAAGUCGAACGGCAGCACAGUAAGAGCUUGCUCUUACGGGUGGCGAGUGGCGGACGGGUGAGGAAUACAUCGGAAUCUACUUUUUCGUGGGGGAUAACGUAGGGAAACUUACGCUAAUACCGCAUACGACCUACGGGUGAAAGCAGGGGAUCUUCGGACCUUGCGCGAUUGAAUGAGCCGAUGUCGGAUUAGCUAGUUGGCGGGGUAAGGGCCCACCAAGGCGACGAUCCGUAGCUGGUCUGAGAGGAUGAUCAGCCACACUGGAACUGAGACACGGUCCAGACUCCUACGGGAGGCAGCAGUGGGGAAUAUUGGACAAUGGGCGCAAGCCUGAUCCAGCCAUACCGCGUGGGUGAAGAAGGCCUUCGGGUUGUAAAGCCCUUUUGUUGGGAAAGAAAAGCAGCAGGUUAAGACCCCGCUGUUCUGACGGUACCCAAAGAAUAAGCACCGGCUAACUUCGU
RNAcentral lists this ribosomal RNA (491 nucleotides) under uncultured bacterium. RNAcentral describes it as "partial 16S ribosomal RNA". It matches the Rfam family "Bacterial small subunit ribosomal RNA", at positions 29 to 506 of the family's 1533-position model. The record is from RNAcentral.